UGCCUGCCGGCGACCGGCGCACGGGUGAGUAACACGUAUGCAACCUGCCCCUGUCAGGGGGACAACCCGCCGAAAGGCGGGCUAAACCCGCGUACAUGCCACCGGGGCAUCCCGGAGGCAGGAAAGGCUUCGGCCGGACAGGGAUGGGCAUGCGGCGCAUUAGGCAGUAGGCGGGGUAACGGCCCACCUAACCGACGAUGCGUAGGGGUUCUGAGAGGAAGGUCCCCCACACUGGUACUGAGACACGGACCAGACUCCUACGGGAGGCAGCAG
This 273-nucleotide ribosomal RNA is filed under the name uncultured bacterium. RNAcentral's name for it is "partial 16S ribosomal RNA". It matches the Rfam family "Bacterial small subunit ribosomal RNA", at positions 82 to 354 of the family's 1533-position model. The record is from RNAcentral.